RNAcentral lists this small RNA (557 nucleotides) under Pongo abelii (Sumatran orangutan). RNAcentral describes it as "processed transcript". Lineage: Eukaryota; Metazoa; Chordata; Mammalia; Primates; Hominidae. The record is from RNAcentral.
AAAACCGUCACUGAAGAGUCAUGGUGGGGCCCGGGCCUACCGCCGCUGCAGCUGUCGAAGAGCGGCAGAGGAAGCUUCAGGAGUACCUUGCAGCCAAGGGAAAACUGAAGAGCCAAAACACCAAGCCUUAUCUAAAAUCCAAGAAUAAUUGCCAGAAUCCACCACCUUCUAAAUCUGUCCAUCAGCAUUAAACUCCAGCCCAGACCACCUAAUACUACAGGGUCCCAGAAGCCGAAGUUGGAGCCACCAAAACUUCUGGGCAAAAGACUGACUUCAAAAUGUGUUUCUUCUAACCCAUACUCUAAGCCUUCUAGCAAGAGUUUUCAACAGCGUGAAGCUGGAUCGUCCACAACAGGAGAACUGUCAAGAAAACCCGUGGGAUCACUUAAUAUAGAGCAAUUGAAAACUACAAAGCAGCAGUUAACAGAUCAAGGAAAUGCUAAAUGUAUAGACUCUGUGAAUAAUACCCAUGUUGAAAACAAAUCUUUCGAUAACUUUCUAAAAGAAACAAACAAAGAGAACUUGCUCGAUAUCUCAACAGAACCUGAGAGGAAGCC